UGGGUAAAGUCUUAAACCAAUUGUGAAGUU
This 30-nucleotide non-coding RNA is filed under the name Mus musculus (house mouse). Lineage: Eukaryota; Metazoa; Chordata; Mammalia; Rodentia; Muridae. The record is from RNAcentral.